Molecule: non-coding RNA, 1007 nt
Organism: Pelobates cultripes (western spadefoot toad)
Lineage: Eukaryota; Metazoa; Chordata; Amphibia; Anura; Pelobatidae
Source: the annotation of a GenBank genome assembly
CUGGACUCUACAACCUAUACUCUACAACAAAUACCCGGGUAUUCUACAAACACAACCUCCAGCAAUGUAUCUAAGGAAUGUAAACUUCUACAGGCCUUUAAAGACUUUGGAUUACAAAUACAAUUACUACUUUUAACUUUGGAUUACAAUUCGUAUCCUGAUCCAUCCAAGAAUAUCUUACUCUGGAACUUGGUGUUCUUUUCAAUUCUUUCCCAGACAAAAGCUUUGCUCAUUUUAAUCAACCACCUUUACAUGCAAAUAUCACACUACGGAUAUUUUACUGUUACAACAAUGAUCAAAGAUGCUGGGAGCACAAAAAAAACCUAAAGACAGUUGGAGAACUUUGGUUCACUAAUUUAAGGAAGAAAUGGUCUACAAUGCCCACAGUUUAAUGGAGAGGGUGUUAUGGGCAAAUACAAAUAUUACAAGUUUUAGAAUGAAAUGUUGUAGUUCUUAAACUGUGUACUUUGUCUUUAAGAGAUAUUGCAAACUGACAAGGUGUUAGAAAUGGAACAUAUUGUUUUUCAUAACGGUUUCUUUAAGCAAUAACCUCAGUGCAUAAUAUGUUUGCGCCAUUUUGUCCCAGACGAAUUACAAUAACAAUAAUGCAUAAACAAGCUUCAAGGCUAUGCUACGACUCUUUCAGUACACAAUAUACUGUGGUAACCCCAAGUUAAUGGAACUUCCCCAAAUCCUGGAAUCUCCCACGACUGUACACUUACGACUUAGUAUAAACAACAGAUAACCCAUUCAGACUUUAAGAUGCCAUCUUGAACUAAGUCAGGAAAAUUUCCAUGACGUAUACACCCUUUAGUUAUGGCCUUGUAUGUUUGCCAAAUUAAGGGAGGACCUAAAUUGAAUAAAGUAAAAGAAGUGUUACUUUUUCAUAUUUGAACUACAGUAACCUAAAAUGGAGACACCUAAGGUAUAAAUAGGUGUACUUUUAAAUGUUAAGACACAGAGGAGAGACAGACGCUGCUCCAUCUUAAAAUGACAGAGAGGCUGAC